AUAAGAAACAGUGCAGUUGUCCAGAAAAACAUAAGGAGGAUGAAGAUUCACCAAACAAGCUCUAUAUGUUGGUUACCUAUGUAGCUGUCACCACUUUCAAAAAUCUACAGACUGUUAACAUGGAUGAGAACUAAUUGCUGAUUGUCAAAUGAAGGUAUAAAACUGCA
Prionailurus viverrinus (fishing cat) is the source of this 167-nucleotide long non-coding RNA. RefSeq lists it as uncharacterized. Lineage: Eukaryota; Metazoa; Chordata; Mammalia; Carnivora; Felidae. The transcript is spliced from 2 exons. The record is from RefSeq and is a predicted model, not a curated record.